UGCCAGCAGUCGCGGUUACACCGAGAAAUUAAGUCAUAUUUUUUAUGGUAAAAAGACAGUUAGACAUAGUCACUUAGGUUUACUUGACUUUCUAUAAAAAGGUAAAAUUUGUAUAUAGUUAUGAAAUCUAAUUUAAAACCGUAAAGUUGAAUCUGUGAUAACCCAGAGGGAAACUGGGAUUAGAUACCCCACUAUUCUUGGAUGUAAAUUAAUUUAAUUUACCCGAGUACUAUGAAUACAUAAAAUUUAAAACUCAAAGGACUUGGCGGUAUUUUAGACCAUUUAGGGGAACCUGUCUCAUAAUCGAUAGUCCACGUUACACCUAACCUUUUUUUGCCUUCAGCUUGUAUAUCGUUGUCGUCAGGUAACUUUUUAGAAAUUAAAAGUUAGCUAAAAAUAAAGUAAGUUUAAACGUCAAAUCAAGGUGCAGUUAAUAAAAAGGUGAGGAUGGGUUACAAUUAUUUAUUUAUAAUUACGGAAAAUCAUAGGAAUUAAUGAUUAUUAAGGAGGACUUAAAAGUAAAUUAGAUUAUAUAAAUAACUUGAAUAAGGCUCUGAAAUGUGCACACAUCGCCCGUCGCUCU
Molecule: ribosomal RNA, 583 nt
Filed under: Turris hidalgoi
Lineage: Eukaryota; Metazoa; Mollusca; Gastropoda; Neogastropoda; Turridae
Description: partial 12S ribosomal RNA
Rfam family: Eukaryotic small subunit ribosomal RNA
Source: RNAcentral